AGUGUUUUAGUUUGUGAAUUAGAAAUAUUAACCACUGCCCUGCCUAUUAAUUAGAAAAAAUACCAAAAAUAGACUAUAUAAAUACAGUUAAAAUGCAGCAUAAACACAGGGGUUAUUAUAAGACACUGGACAGGAUACAGUCUGAGAAAACAGAAAGGGCUUAACGUUUAUUUAUUUAUUUAUUUAUUUUUUAGGAAGAUUAGCCCUUAGCUAACUACUGCCAGUCUUCCUCUUUUUGCUGAGGAAGACUGGCCCUGAGCUAACAUCCGUGCCCACCUUCCUCUACUUUAUACGUCUUCCGGUGGGUUGCACUACUAGAAAAGGCCAUUAACGUGCUUGCAAAUGGUUAAGGUUAUUAAAACCACAACUAAAACCUCUGAUGUUUUAAGUGUACAAAUUUAAACCAGUGAAUGGAGAGCAAUGUUUAAGAACUGUAAUGUUGGGUGGGAAGAUAGAACGUAAAAACUGAAGGAGAUAGGCAUUUUAUUUCAGUGGUUGAGAGGGCGUUGGGUGGGAUUGCAAAAACUCUCUGCUAAGACUUUUUCAGGUGAACAUAACAGACUUGGCCAAGCUAGCAGCUUAGCUGAAGCAGAUUCUCCAGCAGUGCCCUUCCAUAGGGUUGUAAAAGGUUUUUCUUUUCCUGAGAAAACAAAAUCUUUUGUUUUCUCAGGUUUUGCUUUUUGGCCUUUUCCUAGCUUAAAAAAAAAAAGCAAAAGAUGCUGGUGGUUGGCACUCCUGGUUUCCAGGACGGGGUUCGAAUCCCUGCGGCGUCUGUGCUUGACUGUACCCUCUGCCUUCAGGACUCUCCUUUCCGUUUCCCUCCUCCUGUUCAGGAGGCGGCUCUGGAGUCGGGGGAGGGGCAAGCUGCCAGUGGAGGAGUGUCAGCUCGGCUGAAUUGUCAGAGCCUGGAGUCCGUUUGCAUUCACAUGGAAACCGGAAAACCUCAUAUAACUGCCCUGUCUUUCGUUUUCAGGUGUUUCUUGUGCAUCUGGCAUUUAGAGAAGCCUCACUCCUAAAACCUUAAGAUUUCGUAUUAAUAAAAAUUGAAAAGCUCCUCAUUGGUGUGAUUCUUGUGUGUUGUAAAACCAGAUCUGCUGUGAACGUAGGUGGGAGAAGAUGGGUGUUUGGUGGGGGCUCUGCCUUGUUCCUGGGUAACUUGUGGGCUCAUCACAAGCAAGUACACACAGCACAGCGAUGCAGCCUGAACUUCAUAGGGGAGGCACUUGGAGGGGGAAGUGGCGGAGGUAGUGGGUGAGCGACCUCAAAGACCAGUAACAUCCCCACAGAAAAAAAUGGGAACUUACAGGGGAUUGGUGGUUACCGGGGGGUGGGGGGUGGGCACAGAGGGUGAAGUGGUGCACCUGCAACAUGACUCACAAUGUCCAACUGAAAUUUCACAAGGUUGUAAACUAUCAUAAUCUUAAUAAAAAGGAAAAAGAAAUUGGAACUUCCUUUAAGCAGCC
Molecule: long non-coding RNA, 1463 nt
Filed under: Equus asinus (donkey)
Lineage: Eukaryota; Metazoa; Chordata; Mammalia; Perissodactyla; Equidae
Source: RNAcentral